GAUGAACGCUGGCGGCGUGCCUAAUACAUGCGAGUCGAGCGAACGGACGAGAAGCUUGCUUCUCUGAUGUUAGCGGCGGACGGGUGAGUAACACGUGGAUAACCUACCUAUAAGACUGGGAUAACUUCGGGAAACCGUAGCUAAUACCGGAUAAUAUUUUGAGCCGCAUGGUUCAAAAGUGAAAGACGGUCUUGCUGUCACUUAUAGAUGGAUCCGCGCUGCAUUAGCUAGUUGGUAAGGUAACGGCUUACCAAGGCAACGAUGCAUAGCCGACCUGAGAGGGUGAUCGGCCACACUGGAACUGAGACACGGUCCAGACUCCUACGGGAGGCAGCAGUAGGGAAUCUUCCGCAAUGGGCGAAAGCCUGACGGAGCAACGCCGCGUGAGUGAUGAAGGUCUUCGGAUCGUAAAACUCUGUUAUUAGGGAAGAACAUAUGUGUAAGUAACUGUGCACAUCUUGACGGUACCUAAUCAGAAAGCCACGGCUAACUACGUG
RNAcentral lists this ribosomal RNA (497 nucleotides) under uncultured bacterium. RNAcentral's name for it is "partial 16S ribosomal RNA". It matches the Rfam family "Bacterial small subunit ribosomal RNA", at positions 28 to 507 of the family's 1533-position model. The record is from RNAcentral.